UUAAAAACGUGAAUCUCCCAAAAGCAGCUUACACCUAGUAGGUGGUCAAUAAAUAUUUGGUGAAUUAAUGAGUUACUUUUUUUUUUUUUUUUGAGACAGGGUCUCGCUGUGUCGCCCAGGCUGGAGUGCAAUGGCACAAUCUCGCCUCACUGCAACCUCCACCUCCUGGGUUCAAGUGAUUCGUCUACCUCAGCCUCCUGAGUAGCUGGGACUACAGGAUUGUGUGUGUGGAGCGGGGGACACAGUGGGUGCCCCAUGAAUGUCACCAAAAGAGAAGACAGCCCUCAAGAAGGUGUCUGAGGUCAGAGCGUAGCCUCCGGCAAAACUGCCAACCACGGCUGCAAGAUCAGACCAGUCCAGUGAUGCCACAAUGUCUUCACAAGCCCACACAUCCAACAGUGGAGCCCCCAUCUGAACGAGGAAAAUUAAUUUUACAAGCCCAUGGCCAAAAACCUGCCUGUAGUCCCCAGAUGCCACCCCCAUUCUCAGUAAGCUGCUUGUCCUUUUUGUGAGCAGUGAUCCCACAUAACAUGUCUGUUGU
Long non-coding RNA from Symphalangus syndactylus (siamang), 541 nucleotides. RefSeq lists it as uncharacterized. The record is from RefSeq and is a predicted model, not a curated record. Lineage: Eukaryota; Metazoa; Chordata; Mammalia; Primates; Hylobatidae.